AGCGAACGCUGGCGGCAGGCUUAACACAUGCAAGUCGAACGGGCGUAGCAAUACGUCAGUGGCAGACGGGUGAGUAACGCGUGGGAACGUACCUUUUGGUUCGGAACAACCCAGGGAAACUUGGGCUAAUACCGGAUAAGCCCUUACGGGGAAAGAUUUAUCGCCGAAAGAUCGGCCCGCGUCUGAUUAGCUAGUUGGUGAGGUAACGGCUCACCAAGGCGACGAUCAGUAGCUGGUCUGAGAGGAUGAUCAGCCACAUUGGGACUGAGACACGGCCCAAACUCCUACGGGAGGCAGCAGUGGGGAAUAUUGGACAAUGGGCGCAAGCCUGAUCCAGCCAUGCCGCGUGAGUGAUGAAGGCCCUAGGGUUGUAAAGCUCUUUUGUGCGGGAAGAUAAUGACGGUACCGCAAGAAUAAGCCCCGGCUAACUUCGUGCCAGCAGCCGCAGU
RNAcentral lists this ribosomal RNA (449 nucleotides) under uncultured bacterium. RNAcentral describes it as "bacterial SSU rRNA". It matches the Rfam family "Bacterial small subunit ribosomal RNA", at positions 29 to 521 of the family's 1533-position model. The record is from RNAcentral.